UUCGUGUUGGGUUCACGCAGUUAGGUCAGAAAAAGGUCGGGAUUCAUUUGGUUGUUGGAGCGGCUAGUUGUUCACGGGUCGGUGAUAUGCCCAAAUUACACUUCUCUUACGAGAGAGUAAGCGGUCGUUGUCAAAUAUAUAACCCAACUAGGUUGGGGUUGAAUCCCACAGGGAAUAUGGUGCUAAUUAAGUUGUAUGCAGAUUAGUUGACUUUUAAUUAUUUGUUUCCGUAAACUAAAUAGGGG
This 245-nucleotide long non-coding RNA is filed under the name Capsicum annuum. RNAcentral describes it as "long non-coding RNA (CANN_LNC015061)". The record is from RNAcentral. Lineage: Eukaryota; Viridiplantae; Streptophyta; Magnoliopsida; Solanales; Solanaceae.